CGGACGGGUGAGUAAUGUCUGGGAAACUGCCUGAUGGAGGGGGAUAACUACUGGAAACGGUAGCUAAUACCGCAUAACGUCGCAAGACCGAAAGAGGGGGACCUUCGGGCCUCUUGCCAUCGGAUGUGCCCAGAUGGGAUUAGCUAGUAGGUGGGGUAAAGGCUCACCUAGGCGACGAUCCCUAGCUGGUCUGAGAGGAUGACCAGCCACACUGGAACUGAGACACGGUCCAG
RNAcentral lists this ribosomal RNA (233 nucleotides) under uncultured bacterium. RNAcentral describes it as "partial 16S ribosomal RNA". It matches the Rfam family "Bacterial small subunit ribosomal RNA", at positions 99 to 334 of the family's 1533-position model. The record is from RNAcentral.